GUACAUUAUCAAAGUACCUUGUAGGAGGCAGUCACACACACAGAUGUUUCUGCUGCCUCGUGGCGGGACCUGCAUGCAUAUUCCCCACACAUGAUCACACCAUCUUCAAUGUAUAUUUCAUCACGCUGGUGUCAAAGGUAGCUUUAGGAACAAAACAGUCUGAAAACAAACUGAAAACAAAACCCCGUCCUGACUGAUCAGCCUCACAGAUGAAUGGAAAUGCGGAGGAUAAGGUUAUAAACUGGGUAUGGGGAGCCCUUUCCUUGCUGAGAGCCAUGGCUUUGCAGAUCUCUUUGAGAAGCAGCGUCUCAGCAUACAUCUCCAUUUCAUCCUGCAACUGGGAUUGAGGUGGCUGUGCUGUCUGAAAUAGUUGUGGCAUGUGUAUGAAAUGAUGCUUGAAUUUACAACUAGCCCCAUGCUGGAGGUUCCCAGUAAGUCACUGAGGAAUCAUGGUCCUAAAUGCACUGCAUUGUUUUGCCUUGAGAUCAGAUCUCAGCCUUCUUCCUUCGGCAAAAAUCAAUAUUCAAAUCUAUCUUGCUGUCAACCAUGACACUUGCUCAUGUGAACGCUGUUAUCCACAUAAACUUAAUAACAUGUAUACAGUAUUUCAACACGCACAUAAAAGGCUGAAGUUUAUUAUCAAAAAUGCUGCCCAAGAACUCUCUUUUCAGGCAACUACUGGAAAAUGGGUGGCUUCUGGCUCACAAAGCAUUAAAACAUAGGAGCUGCCACAGUCGCUCUCAGCAAGCAUAGGUAGGCUUAUGCUAAUCUCACAUACAUGGUAUUGAACCCUCAUGUCCAUUUGAUUUGCCUUGUGUCUCUCUGCCACAAAAAUCAGUAGUGGCUAUGGCAAACCUUUUGUACCAUGGAUGAAGGCUGUUACAUAGUUUACCUACACCUUAUCACUCCUACUAUUGGAGACGUUUCCUGCCACGAACCCCACACAAGAACAGAGGAACUGUUUUUGUUCUUCUGGUUGCAAGUGUAAACUUAAUCCAGGACAAAUUUCUGUGCAUGACAGGUUUCUUGUAAAAGAAGGAAAUCUGUUCAGUGUUUUUAAAAGAACUUGCAGAAACAAUCUUAUGCCAAAGAGUAGGCAUACUCUAGAAAGGUGAUAAGAAAGACUGACCCUGGAAAAAAAAUAUGUUACUACAUUGCCAUUCUUCUCAUCACUGUCUGAUAAAGCUCCCACUCAGUUCUUUGAAUUCUCCUAAAACACAUCUAACAAAAGAAAGUCACACCAUCGCUGUGAUUUCUCAUACUAAAACCAUGCUACAAGAAAACUUUCUCAAAAAAUCAGGUCACUGUAAAGCUCAUAAAAAAGAAAAACAUGUCACAAUCAAAUUUCAGCUUGAUUCCCUAAUGCAUAGCAAGAUAGGCAUUAUGCACUUGGGAAGGCCUUAAAUUAGCUCAGCUUACGUUUUGUUUACCCAAAAUCAGUUCAAUGAAACCACACAAUCGCAGCCAGUGAGCAGAUCAAAACAGAUUAUGUGCUACCAAUUACUUUCCACAAGGCCUAUAGGCAUCCAGAUUUGAGUGCUAUCUCAUCAGCUAUCUAUAUCUGGCUUCAGAACCAAAAAUCUGACUCUUCUGGGUAUCCACUUGUAACUGUAUUUCCAAUUACCCAGUUUUAGGAUUUAGAACUUUAUUUACAGCCUCCUGAGUCCCCUCUUUCACAAAUACAUCAUUCUGCUAAUACAACAUUAAAUUAUCUGAUAGGAGAAUUGACAAAUGGAGCAGAAAAGCUUUUAAUCACGUGUGUACAGGUAAUACCUUCAAUGGAAAAAUCCACAUGCUUAGAUAAAGGCAGGUCCUUUAAUCCAUUCCUACCUCAAGGCCUUAUGUUGGUGAAACCAUGGGAAGGAACUAUCCGUUAUUUGUAACGGGUAACAUAACUUUUUUAAGUAGCAUAAAUUGUAACCACCAACCUUUUCUUUUUUACUGCUGAAGUAAAGCAUCUUGUCUGAUAAAAGAUAGUGGAUUAGGUCUCUGCAUUGUGCUUAAUCGUGACAUUUAUCUUUCACAUUACAUGAAGUAGUGAACAGGAAAGUGCCUUUCUUUAACCAAAUGGUUUUCAUUCCUACGCUUUCUUACUUGGACUACAAAAGCACCUGCAUACCCCAAGAAAUACCAUACCUUUCAAAAUCAGGAUAAAAAAAGUAUUGGGUAGCAAAUUAGAUCUACAAACUGUUGUUCUCAAUUUAGCUUCAGUGAGCUAACUUCUCCAUCACAGGAAGAAAUUCUACCAUGUAAAUUUCCUUUUAAAGCAUACCGAACAAAAUCAAGGGAUCACUGCCUCAUUUGGAGACAGUGUGCGUAUUUCAAGGGUACUUUCUACUAUUUGCCAAAAUUACCAGCACUUUGAGUUUCCCUGAUAAAAGUGUUCUUCAUAAUAAUCCUUUCAGCAGGUUUAAGAAUCAUCUUGCAACUACAUCUAGUGCCAUCCAGAGGUAAUCAGCAAAAGUUUGAAGAGUAAAUCUACAUUAGUUCUAUCACGAACAGUAAGGUGUGAAUGCUGUUUUUAGAGCAGUUCUUAAGGAAUACGAGGCUUAAGUUGUACCCCAGCUGAAUAAAAAUAAAAGCUAAGCAGGGUUAAGACACAUUAUAGCUUACUGAUGUUGUGGUUCAUUUGGUGCAUUGCAUCCUGUGUUAUGCUUUCUAUUACUCUUUUGGCAAAGUGCUCCUGCAAAUUACACUCUGCCAUCUUAUGCUGUUCAUGCAGGAUACAACUGUAGUAAGAAGCACCAAAUAAACACAGAAACAAAACAAAGCUUUUCUCACCACAAAGGAACCUUGCACUCUGCCACAGCAGCCAACUUCUGUCUGACCAUCUGCUGUACAGAAAGUAAGCAAGCACUAAGGAAUUAAGCACGCUACACAGGCACAAACACUGAGUUGUGUAUUACGAUCAUUCACACUGUAGAGACAGUAAGUUGGGUAAGAAGGGUAUGAUUGAAACUGGUCAAGUAUCCAUGGACGGAAAGGAUCUACAGCUAGGAGGAACUGAUUUCAAGUCCUUUAAGUGAGUGCUGAGCACUCCCAAAUCCAGCCACAGUUGGAGAAAUGUGAUAUUUCAGAUUCUAAAGCCAGGUGGCCGGAAGAAGAGAUGACCCAAAUAAAUAAACAUUUCUAAAAAUUCAUCCUUUAGAAUAAUUGCUACAAAAAUCUGUUAGGAAAGCUGGAGCAAACACGAGGUAUUUAUUUCCUGAACACAGUUUCUGCAAUUGGACUUUGAUAUCACUCUUCUAUCCUUUAAAAAACCGACAUUUUCAGUAGUACACACAUCUACACACUUCAGUGAAACUGUGUGUCUGCCUGUAAUUCUCUGCUAUAAAUUGAUAGUUAUAAGCUCCAAGUGUGACUCUGAUUACUACAGAGAGACUCUCAGAAACCAGUUCUGCAAUCAGAUAGUCUCCCAAAAUACCCAUGAUCCCGUUUUAAAAUCCUGCUCGGUUUACAAAUCCACCCAGAUAUUCUUCAGAUUACCACCUUACCAACCACACUGUGAAAUCACAAGCUCAGAGAUGUCCCGUCCACCACUCUGUACAGCAGUGUGUGGUGCUCUGCCAUCACUGUAUACAGCUGUAGUGACUGUGUAGUCAGACUUCAGUAAGGGGCAACACGGUGCUUAGGAAACAUGAAACGCAGUAGAGUGAAGCUCAUUAUUUAGUUCUUCAAUUAUGUUUGUUUUCAGUGCUUACAGGACAAAAAGUUUGGUGUUGUCAGUAAACUAAGCAGUUAUUUCCUUCUGCUACACAACAGAAGAUCUAUACAUGCAUAGACCAUGAAAUUUAUGUGCAAGGUAAGUAAAAUCUGGCUUUGCCAACAGCUACAGCAAAACUGUCAAAGACUUCAGCUUGAUCAGGGUUUCACUCAUGCCCAUUAGAAGUCUGAGUCUUUGAAAAGAUGCAAGAAGCUUUUUCAGUCUUAUUCUCUAGCAAUGUAUUUAAAUGAUUUGUUGUAUUUUUUUAAUGCUUUGAGAACGUGUAUAACAUUUACUUGUGACAAAUUUCAAAAACUUACCUAGAUUGAUGAAAGUGUGAUAUUGAUAAAUAACAAAAAAAAAAACAAAAAAAAACAGAUUUUCUCUGUUUGUUAUUAAUUGUGACUGUCCAACCACAUGCAUAGAGGCUAAGUGCACAGCAGCAAUUCCUUGCCUCCAGCAAUGAAACAUACAGCAAAGGGAGAAAAAAAACACAAAACAAGGCAUUAAAAAACUCACCUUUGAACUGAGUUUCAGACCAAGUGUACUGAGUGUAAAGUUUCCUGGCAAUGAUCCCCGUACAGCAAACAAACAGACCUGUUUACUGAUUUGCAAGCACUCAUAUAGCAAAUUACAAUUCCUAGAAUACAUAAGAAAGCUGGAAUUUAGCUCUAAACAACAGUUCCCAGAAAGUGAAUUGCUAUAUUAAGGGCUUAUUUUUCUUUUCUUUUCUUUUCUUUUCGCUUCUUUUCUUUUCUCUUCUUUUCUUUUCUCUUCUUUUCUUUUCUUUUCUUUCCUUUUCUUUUCUUUUCUUUUCUUUUCUUUUCUUUUCUUUUCUUUUCUUUUCUUUUCGCUUCUUUUCUUUUCGCUUCUUUUCUUUUCUUUUCGCUUCUUUUCUUUUCUUUUCUUUUCCUUUCUUUUUUCUUUUCUUUUCUUUUCUUUUCUUUUCACUUCUUUUCUUUUCUUUUCUUUUCUUUUCUUUUCUUUUCUUUUCUUUUCUUUUCACUUCUUUUCUUUUCUUUUCGCUUCUUUUCUUCUCUUCUCUUCUCUUCUCUUCUCUUCUCUUCUCCUCUUCUCUUCUCUUCUCUUCUCUUCUCUUCUCUUCUCUUCUCUUCUCUUCUCUUCUCUUCUCUUCUCUUCUCUUCUCUUCUCUUCUCUUCUCUUCUCUUCUCUUCUCUUCUCUUCUCUUCUCUUCUCUUCUCUUUUUUUUUCUUAGCAAGUCCAGGCUAUCAGAUGAAACAACAAAUCCUGGUAUGCACGCCUUCUGCUGUUCUAGUGACACACAGUAAUCAUAAACUCUCAAGGUAACUUUGGAAGUGUAAGAAAUACUAGCAAUUGUGUCCGUCCACUCCUAG
Gallus gallus (chicken) is the source of this 5058-nucleotide long non-coding RNA. The record is from Ensembl. NCBI's taxonomy places the organism in Eukaryota, Metazoa, Chordata, Aves, Galliformes, Phasianidae.